GUCUGGGAAACUGCCUGAUGGAGGGGGAUAACUACUGGAAACGGUAGCUAAUACCGCAUAACGUCUCAAGACCAAAGAGGGGGACCUUCGGGCCUCUUGCCAUCAGAUGUGCCCAGAUGGGAUUAGCUAGUAGGUGGGGUAAUGGCUCACCUAGGCGACGAUCCCUAGCUGGUCUGAGAGGAUGACCAGCCACACUGGAACUGAGACACGGUCCAGACUCCUACGGGAGGCAGCAGUGGGGAAUAUUGCACAAUGGGCGCAAGCCUGAUGCAGCCAUGCCGCGUGUAUGAAGAAGGCCUUCGGGUUGUAAAGUACUUUCAGCGAGGAGGAAGGCAUUGUGGUUAAUAACCACAGUGAUUGACGUUACUCGCAGAAGAAACACCGGCUAACUCCGUGCCAGCAGCCGCGGUAAUACGGAGGGUGCAAGCGUUAAUCGGAAUUACUGGGCGUAAAGCGCACGCACGCGGUCUGUCAAGUCUGAUGUGAAAUCCCCGGGCUCACCUGGGAACUGCAUUCUAAACUGGCAGGCUAGAGUCUUGUGAGGGGGGUAGAAUUCCACGUGUAUCGCUGAAAUGCGU
RNAcentral lists this ribosomal RNA (578 nucleotides) under Lelliottia amnigena. Its description in RNAcentral is "bacterial SSU rRNA". It matches the Rfam family "Bacterial small subunit ribosomal RNA", at positions 115 to 691 of the family's 1533-position model. Lineage: Bacteria; Pseudomonadati; Pseudomonadota; Gammaproteobacteria; Enterobacterales; Enterobacteriaceae. The record is from RNAcentral.